AAUCAACGCUGGCGGCGUGCCUCAGACAUGCAAGUCGAACGAUUAAAGCUCUCUUCGGAGAGUGUAUAGAGUGGCGCACGGGUGAGUAACACGUAAGUAAUCUACCUUCGAGUGGGGAAUAACCCGGGGAAACCCGAGCUAAUACCGCAUAAUGCAGCGGCACCUAAUGGUGACAGUUGUUAAAGGAGUAAUUCGCUUGAAGAGGAGCUUGCGGCAGAUUAGCAGUUGGUAAGGUAAUGGCUUACCAAGGCUACGAUCUGUAACCGGUCUAAGAGGACGGUCGGUCACACUGACACUGAAUAACGGGUCAGACUCCUACGGGAGGCAGCAGUCGGGAAUUUUGGGCAAUGGGCGAAAGCCUGACCCAGCAACGCCGCGUGAAGGAUGAAGUAUUUCGGUAUGUAAACUUCGAAAGAAUGGGAAGAAUAAAUGACGGUACCAUUUAUAAGGUCCGGCUAACUACGUGCCAGCCGCCGCUGU
RNAcentral lists this ribosomal RNA (480 nucleotides) under uncultured bacterium. RNAcentral's name for it is "bacterial SSU rRNA". It matches the Rfam family "Bacterial small subunit ribosomal RNA", at positions 32 to 521 of the family's 1533-position model. The record is from RNAcentral.